UUGCCUUUUAAUUGGAGGCUUGUAUGAACGGACACACGAAAACGCAACUUUCUUAUCGAGGAAAAUAAAAAUUAACCUUCAAGUGAAGAGACUUGAAUAUCAUAAAAAGACGAAAAGACCCUAUGGAGCUUUACUUAAAUUAUUAAACCACAAAUAAAAAAAGCUUUUUUUACUAAAAAAGUUUAGUUGGGGCGACUAAGGAGCACACAUCACCCUCCUACUGACAAAAGACUCUAAAUCUACAAAAGAUCCACAAACGUGAAUAAAAACCCAGCUACCCUAGGGAUAACAGGCUAAUCCUCCUUAAGAGCUCAAAUUGACAGGAGGGCUUGGCACCUCG
This 340-nucleotide ribosomal RNA is filed under the name Aurospio cf. dibranchiata TMG-2019. Its description in RNAcentral is "partial large subunit ribosomal RNA". It matches the Rfam family "Bacterial large subunit ribosomal RNA", at positions 1969 to 2528 of the family's 2925-position model. The record is from RNAcentral. Lineage: Eukaryota; Metazoa; Annelida; Polychaeta; Spionida; Spionidae.